AAGCUCGUAGUUGAAUUUCGAGACCGGUUUACUGGUCGUGCUUUUGUACGUACUGGUAUAAUCGGUUUCUCUCUUCUGACGAACUAUAAUGCCAUUAAUUUGGUGUUAUGGGAAAUCAGGACUGUUACUUUGAAAAAAUUAGAGUGUUUAAAGCAGGCUCACGCUUGAAUACAUUAGCAUGGAAUAACGGAAUAGGACGUUUGAUUCUAUUUUGUUGGUUUCUAGGAUCGACGUAAUGAUUAAUAGGGAUAGUUGGG
This 257-nucleotide ribosomal RNA is filed under the name uncultured Glomus. RNAcentral describes it as "partial 18S ribosomal RNA". It matches the Rfam family "Eukaryotic small subunit ribosomal RNA", at positions 624 to 886 of the family's 1831-position model. Lineage: Eukaryota; Fungi; Glomeromycota; Glomeromycetes; Glomerales; Glomeraceae. The record is from RNAcentral.